Molecule: ribosomal RNA, 253 nt
Filed under: uncultured bacterium
Lineage: Bacteria
Description: partial 16S ribosomal RNA
Rfam family: Bacterial small subunit ribosomal RNA
Source: RNAcentral
UACGGGGGGGGCAAGCGUUGUUCGGAAUUACUGGGCGUAAAGGGCUCGUAGGCGGCCAACUAAGUCAGACGUGAAAUCCCUCGGCUUAACCGGGGAACUGCGUCUGAUACUGGAUGGCUAGAGGUUGGGAGAGGGAUGCGGAAUUCCAGGUGUAGCGGUGAAAUGCGUAGAUAUCUGGAGGAACACCGGUGGCGAAGGCGGCAUCCUGGACCAAUUCUGACGCUGAGGAGCGCAAGCCAGGGGAGCAAACGGG